This is a non-coding RNA of Podarcis lilfordi (Lilford's wall lizard), 3568 nucleotides long. The record is from the annotation of a GenBank genome assembly. NCBI's taxonomy places the organism in Eukaryota, Metazoa, Chordata, Lepidosauria, Squamata, Lacertidae.
UUAACUCACAGUACCACCCGUGUCCCAUUUGCAUAUAGUAGUUUCUUACAAUCCCUACAACUGUGUAAGGUAGUUCAGCAUUGUUAUCCACAUAUUGAGGAUGAAGGAGAGUUUCUUGCCUAAGGCUAGUUGGGAUCAUAGCUGUCAACGUUUCCCUUUUUUAAAAGGAAAAUUCCCUUAUUCCGAAUAGGAUUCCUCCCAAGAAAAGGGAAAAGUUGACAGCUAUGGUUGGGAUAUUGGGUGGGAUUUCAGUCUCUACCAGUGUAAUUCUAUACAAGUCUGCUCAGAAGACCCAAAGUAAUAGAUUUUUUCCACUCCCCAUCACACAAAAUUUGAGGAUAAUCUUCAUGGAUCUUCUCUCUAAAGCCUGGUAAAAAUGUAGGUGAAAAGUAUACAGGAUGCAGAAAAAAAUAUUAGCAAUAUUCAUUGUGUGAGGAUUAAAAUAUUGUUAGCACUUUUCGUCGUAAAAGAAGAAUUAUGCUAUCACUCUGAUUGUCAUAUCAAUGUCAGCUCCAAGUGGAAAUGCCGCUUUGGGUACAGGCUGUGUGCAAUUGUUACAAUUAAAGCCCUGCUAUUUUAAAUAUAAAGAAUGGGUAUAAUCAAAUGAUCAGUUUAAAGCCUGCCAGCAGCUAGCCGGGGUACCUGCUAUAUGAUAUUAAAUUAAUUUGAAUCAAAGCUUUUGCAGAGCCAGAAACUGUUGGAUCUUCAGUUUGACAUGAUCUAAUGUGUGAAUGCCAAAAGCUUGACUUGGUGUGCUGUUAGAGCAGGAAUUAAUUGAUGCUGAUACAGAUUAUAUGGGCGCACACAAAAAGAGGAGGAAUGGACAAUCUUUCUCAAUAAUAGAUUGAAGUUGUGCAGGUGUAUAAUUGUAUCUGGCAUCCUGGCUUAGUGAUGAGGAUUGUUCUUGGUUCAUGCUUGCUUGCAGCCAUUUUAGAUUAAGUGCAGUUAUGGAGUGUACGUCAGAUGGAAAUGUUAACAUAAGGUCUAAUUCUGCUGCCUUUUCUCCAAUUCACUUCAAUUGGUUCGGUCAGCUAAAGCAAGAUAAAUGGGCAAAAAGGUAAUAAGAAGUGAGUAAGCAUGGAGCAGGGUUGUAAAUACUGAGGACUCCUUCACACAUUAUGUUUUUCUACGCUUAAAUAUAGGAAUCGUGUUAGGAAAAUGAUAUGCAAAAUUUUUUACCGAGGAGCAUGGAAAAAUGUACAUGUUUAUUUCAAUGUCAUUUGAAAUGUAUCAUUCACUAACUGAGCAGAUGUUUCACCAAACAGCUUGGGGUGAAGACAGAGGCAAAGUUGGUGUUGAGCAGUUCCAAAUUCUCUCUGUCACCCAAUAAUAUUUCUACAGCUUCUCCACAUAGAGGACUUACUACUUGUUUGUACUUCGUUUUGCUUUGAACCUAGCCAAAUAAACUUUUUGACAAUUAUUUUUAACCUCUCUUGCAAACCUGAGCUCAUUCUGAGCUUUGGCCCACCUGGCCUUCUGCCUGCAACUAUUGACUACUUGUGUAUACUUUUCUUUCCCCUUUGUUGUAUUUCUUAUAUUGGUCUCUUUAGCUGUCUCCUACUUUUACUUCUUGUUGGAAUUGUCUGCAUUUGUGCCUUCAACAUAUCACCUUUAAGCAGUGCUUUUUUCUAGGAAACUAAGUGCCUGUACUCACCAAGAAGUUGUUGCAGUAAGUGUUACACUUUUUAACAACAACAAAAAGAGGUGCCGGUACUUUGUACCCUUGAGUACCCCCUGGGGAAAAAGCACUGCCUUUAAGAAACUCCCAUCCAUCUUGGAUUCCCUUCCCCUUUCUGACUGUCGGAUCUCACCCAGUUGUUCUUGAAGCUAUUUGAAAUCAGCCUUAUUAAAGUCCAGCGUGCGUGUCCAACUACACUUAGCUUUCCCUUUUCUCUGUAUCGUGAAAAGCAAGAGAACAUGAUCAAUUUCUCCCAAAGUACUUCCGGUACUUCCACUUUGUAAAUCGAUUCCUCAUGGUUGAUGAAGACCAGGUCCAAGAUAGAUGAUCCCCUUGUUCCACCUUCUUGGAAAUGAAAUUCUGUAUUAGGCAAUGGAGGAAUUUGUUGGACCUAACAUUAUUGACAGAGCUUGAGUUCCAAGAAAUAUUGGGUAGUAAGUCUCCCACGAUUACUAUGGCUCUCCUUUUUGAAUUUUUCAUGAUCUGUUGUAGAAAGGCAUAACAUCCAAGUAUUCAAACUGACUUGGAGGUCUAUAGGAGUCACCCACAGUAAAGUCACUGUUGUUUCCCUUACCAUUUUUAACCAUACUUUACUCUGCCUUCAAUGCUCCAGGUCAUGGAUCUCUUCCCAAAUGGACACAUACUUUGCAUAUAAUGCUACUCCUCCUCCCUUCCUGUUUGGUCUAUUCCUUUGGAAUGGUUAACUCAACAGUAAGGCUGCAAUCCUAUACACACUUACAAACUCACCUGUUAAUUGGGUCUUAUUUGUUAGUUGCCAUGCAUAGGAUUGCACCGCAAGUUGCAUUUUGUUAAGCGGCACAUAGGAAAUUGUGUUUAGGAUUGCAGAGUAAAUGGGAGAUUUCUUUCAAAAGAACAUCUGUAACCAGCAGUAAUGAAGCAUUGUGUUACGUUUACUUGGGACUGUUAUCGAUCAGCUCCCUAAGCUGGUGCUACUCACAGAACUGGCUGCAGGGAGCCCAUUAACCUUGCUCUUCUAAGGCCCCCCUUGGUGCUGGUCUGAUUCUGAUUUUGGUUGAUAGUCCUAAUGGAGUUGGAUGUUCUCUUUCUAUAAAGGACUUUUCCAUGUACUAUCACGGCACAUUAAAGGAACUUGGUUUUUUGUUUACAUAACACUGGUGAUAUUAAGGUACGCAUAGGCAAGAUAAUAACAUUAAGGUUGUAAACCAUCCAUAUUUUAUUUACUGGUGACAAAGACGUACUGUAGGGUUGUGCAGCAAGAUUCAGCUUGAACCUCAAUUCAUUGUUGCUCUUGUUUAAAAAGUCUAUCUUAAUUCGAAGCACUUAGAGGGGCUGCCCUAUUUAUCACGGAAUCCGAGACCAAAUUCAUUUUAGAAAAAUGACGUGUCAUCCCCUGUCCUGUUACUAUGGGGAUAGUCAGUAACUUUCCCCACUUUUCUAAAGGAAGCUUACAAAAUAUUUUAAAUGCAAUAAAAUGCACAAUGAUACAAUAGUAUUUAUCGCUUAAUAUUUUAAAUCUCUGACUACAAUUGGCAUAUAUGAUUUCCUUCCAAUAAAUGUCUACUACAGUCAACACCUUGAAUCCCUAAUACCUCCAUUUUGGAAUGUUUCGGCUCCCAAACGCCGAAAACCCAGAAUUAAAUUCUCCGGUUUUCAAAUGUUUUUCGGAAGCUGAAUGUCUGAAGCGGCUUCCGCUUGAGUGUAGGAAGCUACUGCAACCAAUAGGAAGACACACCUCGGCAGGAAAGCAGCAGAAAUAUAGAUGUAUGGACUCCGGCCAAUCGAGAAGCAUGGGUACCCCCCCACAAAAAAUUAUAAUCCGGAAAAUAAUUGGAUUUUAUGAUGUGGAUUGAUAUAAUUUGGACUAGUUGGUAUGAUAUGUGUAAUUUGGUAACUUAAUAAAAAUCAUUU